RNAcentral lists this long non-coding RNA (467 nucleotides) under Mytilus galloprovincialis (Mediterranean mussel). The record is from RNAcentral. Lineage: Eukaryota; Metazoa; Mollusca; Bivalvia; Mytilida; Mytilidae.
UUUUCUUUAUUUUUUUAUUUGUAAACCAUCUCAUAUAUCUUGAAUUAUUUCAAAUAACUAUCUGAUAUUCAAGUGGAAGAGGAUGCAUAAUUCUACUAGCAUAAGAGGAUCUACUAGGAGAAGCUGUUUAUUUGGUCGUUUAUGGUUGUCUUAAAAUUAAAGUCAGUGAGAUUAAUAGACUACAGCAAACCAACAAAGAGGAUGAAAAAAUAAUCCAUGAAAAUGAUUUUAUAUUUCAUAUUUUGCUGGAUUAUUUUUUGUCGUGUCUCUCUCAUCGUUGUUUUUUUGUAUAUUUAUAUUGAACCUUUUCAAUUAUUUAUCACCGACAACGCAUGCAAGAUCUUAUUAUUUUUUUAAAUGUUCUUCUCCCGGUCAUAAAUCUACAUGAAAUAUUUGCCACUGUGCGUUCAGACAACAUAUAUCAAUAAAUCUUAUAUCCUAUAUUUGUAAAUUGCAGUAUUAUAAAA